Molecule: ribosomal RNA, 578 nt
Filed under: Pseudomonas putida
Lineage: Bacteria; Pseudomonadati; Pseudomonadota; Gammaproteobacteria; Pseudomonadales; Pseudomonadaceae
Description: bacterial SSU rRNA
Rfam family: Bacterial small subunit ribosomal RNA
Source: RNAcentral
ACGCUGGCCGCAGGCCUAACACAUGCAAGUCGAGCGGAUGACGGGAGCUUGCUCCUUGAUUCAGCGGCGGACGGGUGAGUAAUGCCUAGGAAUCUGCCUGGUAGUGGGGGACAACGUUUCGAAAGGAACGCUAAUACCGCAUACGUCCUACGGGAGAAAGCAGGGGACCUUCGGGCCUUGCGCUAUCAGAUGAGCCUAGGUCGGAUUAGCUUGUUGGUGAGGUAAUGGCUCACCAAGGCGACGAUCCGUAACUGGUCUGAGAGGAUGAUCAGUCACACUGGAACUGAGACACGGUCCAGACUCCUACGGGAGGCAGCAGUGGGGAAUAUUGGACAAUGGGCGAAAGCCUGAUCCAGCCAUGCCGCGUGUGUGAAGAAAGUCUUCGGAUUGUAAAGCACUUUAAGUUGGGAGGAAGGGCAGUAAGCUAAUACCUUGCUGUUUUGACGUUACCGACAGAAUAAGCACCGGCUAACUCUGUGCCAGCAGCCGCGGUAAUACAGAGGGUGCAAGCGUUAAUCGGAAUUACUGGGCGUAAAGCGCGCGUAGGUGGUUUGUUAAGUUGGAUGUGAAAGCCCCGG